GUCCCAAUAAUAGUGUUCUACCUAUCGUGAGUUUUCCAACAUUACAAAAAAGCAACUUAUUAUCCUAAUGGUGCACAAACAUUAGAACAAUCUAAUUAUACAUAUUAUUGGAAUCACAACGCAAUAAUUAAUAUAAAAACAUAGGUCUCAAAUUAAAACUAAAAAUUAAACAAUUUUGUCAUCAUCCAAUACGUGAAAAGGAAUUAGCCAAACAUGAUGCGAGAAUUAAAUAAAUAACAAUGGAACGACAUCACCGAAAUUUGACGAACGUGAUUAAUUUCCAAAGUAAAUUUCUGUCUUUCUCUUUUUAUUCCAAUGGAUUGCCUCCUUUUUGUAUCUUUUUCUCCCCAAAAAAUUCCUACCAAUGUGUUAUAUUUCAGCCAAAAGCAACCCUCUAAAAACAGCCUCCAAUUCAAUCUCCAAAUUUUGCCUUUGCUAUACGUGUAUGUGUUUUAUGUUUGCUGCCAAAGUGUCUUCCUGUAUGUAUAAUUUUUUAAUGAAACCAGCCGGCAACAACUCUUAUGAAUCUGUAGGCGUAUGUGUAUAUAUCUACUUCCGUGUUUGUGCCGAACAAUCCAUUUAAUGGCAGAAUUUCUCCUCCCAAAAAUACCGACCAGAUUUCCCAGGCUGCUCCCCCUAUUGCCUUGGUUUUCUGUAUGUAUAUGUAUAUAAUUUUGUCUCCCAAAGCUCCUCCAAUUGCCGCUGAAUUACAUGAGAUAUAUAUUCUAUUCAGCCCCCACAAUCUCCUCCAGCAGCCGGCAGCUUCUCUGACUCUCCUGUCGGCAGUUUCUUUAAUUCCCUCGGCUCCCCCUCUUUUUACUCCAGAUUCAGCCCCCCAAUUUUGGUGUGCUCCUGUAUCCCUUCCCUCCAAGUUGGCGUGCAGUCUCUUCCCCAAAAAUCUGCCUAUGUUUGUACAUAAUCUCAAAGUAAGCAGCCGGCAGUUUUCUUUCUCCUUUUCCUCCCUUCCAGCCGUCUCUCUUCUCUA
Molecule: long non-coding RNA, 985 nt
Filed under: Olea europaea subsp. europaea
Lineage: Eukaryota; Viridiplantae; Streptophyta; Magnoliopsida; Lamiales; Oleaceae
Source: RNAcentral